ACGCUGGCGGCGGCCUAACACAUGCAAGUCGAGCGAGACCUUCGGGUCUAGCGGCGGACGGGUUAGUAACGCGUGGGAAUAUACCCUUCACUACGGAAUAGCCUCGGGAAACUGGGAGUAAUACCGUAUACGCCCUUUUGGGGAAAGAUUUAUCGGUGAAGGAUUAGCCCGCGUCUGAUUAGAUAGUUGGUGGGGUAAUGGCCUACCAAGUCUACGAUCAGUAGCUGGUUUGAGAGGAUGAUCAGCAACACUGGGACUGAGACACGGCCCAGACUCCUACGGGAGGCAGCAGUGGGGAAUCUUAGACAAUGGGCGCAAGCCUGAUCUAGCCAUGCCGCGUGAGUGACGAAGGCCUUAGGGUCGUAAAGCUCUUUCGCCAGAGAUGAUAAUGACAGUAUCUGGUAAAGAAACCCCGGCUAACUCCGUGCCAGCAGCCGCGGUAAUACGGAGGGGGUUAGCGUUGUUCGGAAUUACUGGGCGUAAAGCGCACGUAGGCGGAUUGGAAAGUAUGGGGUGAAAUCCCAGGGCUCAACCCUGGAACUGCCUUGUAAACUCCCAGUCUAGAGUUCGAGGAGAGGUGAGUGGAAUUCCAAGUGUAGAGGUGAAAUUCGUAGAUAUUUGGAGGAACACCCAGUGGCGAAGGCGGCUCACUGGCUCGAUACUGGACGCUGAGGUGCGAAAGUGUGGGGAGCAAACAGGAUUAGAUACCCUGGUAGUCCACACCGUAAACGAUGAAUGCCAGACGUCAGGGGGCUUGCCCUUUGGUGUCACACCUAACGGAUUAAG
Molecule: ribosomal RNA, 786 nt
Filed under: uncultured bacterium
Lineage: Bacteria
Description: bacterial SSU rRNA
Rfam family: Bacterial small subunit ribosomal RNA
Source: RNAcentral